This 484-nucleotide ribosomal RNA is filed under the name uncultured bacterium. RNAcentral's name for it is "partial 16S ribosomal RNA". It matches the Rfam family "Bacterial small subunit ribosomal RNA", at positions 30 to 507 of the family's 1533-position model. The record is from RNAcentral.
AUUGAACGCUGGCGGAAUGCUUUACACAUGCAAGUCGAACGGCAGCACGGGGGCAACCCUGGUGGCGAGUGGCGAACGGGUGAGUAAUACAUCGGAACGUGCCCGGUCGUGGGGGAUAACGUAGCGAAAGUUACGCUAAUACCGCAUACGAUCUGAGGAUGAAAGCGGGGGACCUUCUGGCCUCGCGCGAUCGGAGCGGCCGAUGUCAGUUUAGGGAGUGGGUGGGGUAAAGGCCUACCAAGCCGACGAUCUGUAGCUGGUCUUAGAGGACGACCAGCCACACUGGGACUGAGACACGGCCCAGACUCCUACGGGAGGCAGCAGUGGGGAAUUUUGGACAAUGGGCGCGAGCCUGAUCCAGCCAUUCCGCGUGCAGGACGAAGGCCUUCGGGUUGUAAACUGCUUUUGUAUGGAGCGAAAAGGGUCUGGCUAAUACCUGGGGUUCAUGACGGUACCGUAAGAAUAAGCACCGGCUAACUACGUG